Long non-coding RNA from Gossypium arboreum, 1530 nucleotides. RefSeq lists it as uncharacterized. The transcript is spliced from 2 exons. NCBI's taxonomy places the organism in Eukaryota, Viridiplantae, Streptophyta, Magnoliopsida, Malvales, Malvaceae. The record is from RefSeq and is a predicted model, not a curated record.
AUAUAUUCUUAGAGCAAAGCUUUUAAGCACCCCAAAUCCCAUCUAUCUACACCUCAAAGUCGGUCUACUGUUCUUCGCUUUCUUGCUUUUCUUCUUCUUCUUCAGGACAUUGAUUCAGUGCAGCUGAAGUGGGUAUUUCCUGGUUUUGAAGGAAAGAAAAAGGGGAAAUUUUUUUGGUUCACAUAAGAGCUUGGUUUAGUGCUUAAACAAGUCAAGAAUGGUGAAAAAUGAAGUGAGUAUUUCCUGGAUUUGAAGAGAAUAGGGGAAAUUUGUGGUUCAAAGGGCUUAUCUUUCUGUAAUUUUUGUGGUUUAGUUCAUAAACAGGUGAAGAACUGAAGUGGGUUUUUACUGGUUUUGAAGAGAAAAAAAGGGGGAGAAAAUUUUGGGUUCAAAGUGCUGAUCUUUGUGUAAUUUUGGUUCACAUAGGAGCUUUGUUUAGUGCAUAAACAAGUCAAGAUGGAGGACACUUAUAUGGGUUUUUCAUGGUUUUGAAGAAAAAGGUUCAAAGGACUAAUAUCGCUGUAAUUUUGGUUCACAUUGGGGCUUUAGGGUUAGUGCAUAAAUUUUUUGAUUGAAAGACUUGAUUUUCGUUUGAAAUGGAAGGAGUGAUGGGUGGAAACACUGUUCAUCCAAAUUCAAUCAAUAAAUCUGAAGUUUUGGAUGUAAAACCAGUGCGUACCUUGGUUCCUAUAUUCCCAGAGCCAUCCGAGGGUCCUCCAUUUGUUUGCGUGCCUCCUAACGGCCCUUUCCCAUCUGGAUUUUCCCCAUUUUUCCCAUUUAGUGGAUCAAACCCAAAUCCUAAUCCUAACCAAAAUGAUAUCAAUCCAACUCCUGCCCCGGUUCGGCCAUUUACAGCUGAAACUUCCAAUGGCCAAAAUGUGUCACCGAUGGGUACACAUGUUAAUCAAGGACAAAAACCGGCUCCUUCGUAUCCUGUCAAGAAAAGGGGAAGGGGAAGACCGAGGACUCGGUUUCCUUAGAAACCAAAAUCGGUUAGUUUCAAUCCUGGAAUUAGUUUGUCUGAACAAUAAAGAUGUUAACAUGGAAUAAGUAGAAAAAUGUGCUUUUGAGGUUUGAUGCUAGCAGAAGAAAAGCUUAGCCAAAUGGAAGAGGCGAAUGAGUCGAAUUCCGGCAUUGUUUAACAUGCAGAGUUGAAAGCUGGCAACAUGAGAAUCCGGGCUGUUUGAUGUUGGAACCGGUGACAAUCGUUAUCUUCCAAAUGGAGUUGUGCUUGGUGAGGUUAUAUUCUCGGUUUAGUAAGGGUGUGAUUUAGAGGGGAUAGCUAGUAGCUUUAAGCAUUUGUAUUUAGCUAGUAGCUUUAAGCAUUUGUAUUCUGAGAGCAAGUAGAUUUUAAUGUAUUUAGAGAGUCGUCGGUCAUUGGAGACGUUUGGGAUCUUUGCUUGUCAUUGUGUAAUCAUGCAACUCUCUCUGUGUAAUCCUGUGUUAAAUGUUAGUAGCUUUGUAUUAGGGAGUGAGUGCCGAAUAUUCGAUAUGUUGGAUAUGAAUAUGUUUCGUUCAUCGUGUUCCUAA